GGAUGUGAGGGCGAUCUGGCUGACAUCUGUCACGCCACUGAUCACCAGGGUUGAUGUGGCUGAUCUAGCUGGCUGGGGGCAUGUCCCCUUUCUCCCUCACUGCUCCAGGCAUGUCUGUCCCAAAGCUGCGUGCUCCAUCAAAGAGGACGACCACCCCCGAUAGAGGAAGGCUGGUCUUCGGUCAAGGGUAUGCGAGCAGCGGCGCUCACCUGCUAGAACCUCCAAACAAGCUCUCCAGAAGAGGCCGGGGGACUAGUUCCCUCUCUUUCUGCCAUGUGAGGACACAAUAAGA
This 292-nucleotide small nuclear RNA is filed under the name Cebus imitator (Panamanian white-faced capuchin). Its description in RNAcentral is "7SK RNA (ENSCCAG00000005355.1)". It matches the Rfam family "7SK RNA". From Rfam's summary of the family: 7SK was discovered as an abundant small nuclear RNA in the mid-70s but a possible function has only recently been suggested. Two independent studies have found that 7SK RNA binds the CDK9/cyclin T complex (known as elongation factor P-TEFb). P-TEFb activates transcription by phosphorylating the C-terminal domain of RNA polymerase II. Lineage: Eukaryota; Metazoa; Chordata; Mammalia; Primates; Cebidae. The record is from RNAcentral.